Molecule: non-coding RNA, 1023 nt
Organism: Chiloscyllium plagiosum (whitespotted bambooshark)
Lineage: Eukaryota; Metazoa; Chordata; Chondrichthyes; Orectolobiformes; Hemiscylliidae
Source: RefSeq, a predicted model, not a curated record
CCCUGUCCCUAAAUCCCCCUCGGGCAUUUCGAGAGUCAGUCCCGUUGCUGUGGAUCUGGAGUCACGUGUAGACCAGGCCUGUAAGAGGAUAAUAAACCUGGGACCCAUCCACCCCGGACCAACCAGCCCGGAGCCCCAGCCGUCUGGAACCCGGGUUAUCUGCGGGCAUUGUAAAAACACAUUCCUGUGGCGAGAGUUCACAGACAGCACAUUGGCACGCUGUCCUCACUGUCGACACGUCUCCUCGAUUGGCCGGCAGUAUCCGCGGCGCCGAUGUAUGUGGAUAUUCAUGGUGGGAUUACUCUUCGCUGUUAUCGCUGCUGGCGUGGCGAUAUCUACGUGGAAGCAGGCCAGGAGAUACCAUGGAAUCUAUGCGGGCUGGGCUGUUCUCAUGGUCCUCUCGCUCUGCAGCUUUGCCCGCGCCUGUUACUGGGGCUGCCUGAAAGUCAGCCACCCCAUCCAGAGUUUCUCCUGACGUGACGAGGGGAGGCGCAGGAGAUUCCUUAACUUUCAUCAACACAAGAACAUGCGAACUCUGAACUUUGAUCCAUAGAACCUAGAACAUCACAGUGCAGUGCAGGAUCUUCAGCCCUCGAUGUUGUGCCGACCUGUGGAACCAACCUGAAGCCCAUCUAACCUACACUAUUCAUUCUCGUCAAUAUGCCUAUCCAAUGACCAUUUAAAUUCCCAUUAAGUUGGCGAGUCCAUAGCUAUUGCAGGCAGUGUGUUCUACACCCCGACGACUCUCUGAUUAAAGAAUUUACAUCUGACAUCUGUCCUAUAUCUAUCUUCCCUCAAUGUGAAGCUAUGCACUCUCAUUCUGGCCAUUACCAUCCUCGGAAAAAGGCUCUCAGUUUCCACCGGUUCUCAGACUGAUUAUCUUAUAUGUCUCAAUUAAUUCACCUCUCGACCUUCUUCUCUCUAUCAAAAACAGUCUCAAGUCACUCAAGCUCCUCUUGUAAGAACCUCCCUCCAUAUCAGGCAACAUUCUAGUAAAUCACCUUUGAACCCUUUCCAAAGCUU